GCGCCAGACUCCUACGGGAGGCAGCAGUGAGGAAUAUUGGUCAAUGGGCGGAAGCCUGAACCAGCCAAGUCGCGUGAGGGAAGAAGGCCCUGCGGGUCGCAGACCUCUUUGGACGGGGAGCAAGGCCGCCGACGUGUCGGCGGAAGGAGAGUACCCGUAGAACAAGCAUCGGCUAACUCCGUGCCAGCAGCCGCGGUAAUACGGAGGAUGCGAGCGUUAUCCGGAUUUAUUGGGUUUAAAGGGUGCGCAGGCGGCACGCCAAGCGGGCGGUCAAAUCGCGGGGCUCAACCCCGCCCAGCCGUCGGAACUGGCGGGCUAGAGUGGGCGAGAAGUGCGCGGAAUGCGUGGUGUAGCGGUGAAAUGCAUAGAUAUCACGCAGAACUCCGAUUGCGAAGGCAGCAUACCGGCGCCCGACUGACGCUGAGGCACGAAAGCGUGGGUAUCGAACAGGAUUAGAUACCCGUGUA
RNAcentral lists this ribosomal RNA (467 nucleotides) under uncultured bacterium. Its description in RNAcentral is "partial 16S ribosomal RNA". It matches the Rfam family "Bacterial small subunit ribosomal RNA", at positions 328 to 792 of the family's 1533-position model. The record is from RNAcentral.